CAGGUGUUCAACAUCAAACUGUCCCUGUCAGGCCAGGUGUUCAACAUCAAACUGUUCCUGUCAGGCCAGGUGUUCAACGUCAAACAUCAAACUGUUCCUGUCAGGCCAGGUGUUCAACAUCAAACUGAUCCUGUCAGGCCAGGUAUUCAACAUCAAACUGAUCCUGUCAGGCCAGGUCUUCAACAUCAAACAUCAAACUGUCCCUGUCAGGCCAGGUGUUCAACAUCAAACUGAUCCUGUCAGGCCAGGUGUUUAAUAUCAAACUGUUCCUGUCAGGCCAGGUGUUCAACAUCAAACUGUUCCUGUCAGGCCAGGUGUUCAACAUCAAACUGAUCCUGUCAGGCCAGGUAUUCAACAUCAAACUGAUCCUGUCAGGCCAGGUCUUCAACAUCAAACAUCAAACUGUCCCUGUCAGGCCAGGUGUUCAACAUCAAACUGAUCCUGUCAGGCCAGGUGUUCAACAUCAAACUGUUCCUGUCAGGCCAGGUGUUCAACAUCAAACAUCAAACUGUUCCUGUCAGGCCAGGUGUUCAACAUCAAACUUUUCCUGUCAGGCCAGGUGUUCAACAUCAAACUGAUCCUGUCAGGUCAGGUGUUCAACAUCAAACUGUCCCUGUCAGGCCAGGUGUUCAACAUCAAACUGAUCUUGUCAGGCCAGGUGUUCAACAUCAAACAUCAAACUGUUCCUGUCAGGCCAGGUGUUCAACAUCAAACUGUUCCUGUCAGGCCACGUGUUCAACAUCAAACAUCAAACUGUUCCUGUCAGGCCACGUGUUCAACAUCAAACAUCAAACUGUCAGGCCAGGUGUUCAACAUCAAACUGUUCCUGUCAGGCCAGGUGUUCAACAUCAAACUGUUCCUGUCAGGCCAGGUGUUCAACAUCAAACUGU
This is a long non-coding RNA of Oncorhynchus tshawytscha (Chinook salmon), 890 nucleotides long. The record is from Ensembl. NCBI's taxonomy places the organism in Eukaryota, Metazoa, Chordata, Actinopteri, Salmoniformes, Salmonidae.